Molecule: ribosomal RNA, 46 nt
Filed under: Agroathelia rolfsii
Lineage: Eukaryota; Fungi; Basidiomycota; Agaricomycetes; Amylocorticiales; Amylocorticiaceae
Description: Athelia rolfsii partial 28S ribosomal RNA
Source: RNAcentral
UUCAGUAGGACUACCCGCUGAACUUAAGCAUAUCAUAAGCGGAGGA